GACGAACGCUGGCGGCGUGCUUAACACAUGCAAGUCGAACGGAAAGGCCCUGCUUGCAGGGUACUCGAGUGGCGAACGGGUGAGUAACACGUGGGUGAUCUGCCCUGCACUUCGGGAUAAGCCUGGGAAACUGGGUCUAAUACCGGAUAGGAGCCAUUUUUAGUGUGAUGGUUGGAAAGUAUUUUCGGUGUAGGAUGAGCUCGCGGCCUAUCAGCUUGUUGGUGGGGUAAUGGCCUACCAAGGCGGCGACGGGUAGCCGGCCUGAGAGGGUGGACGGCCACAUUGGGACUGAGAUACGGCCCAGACUCCUACGGGAGGCAGCAGUGGGGAAUAUUGCACAAUGGGCGCAAGCCUGAUGCAGCGACGCCGCGUGGGGGAUGACGGCCUUCGGGUUGUAAACUCCUUUCGCUAGGGACGAAGCUUUUUGUGACGGUACCUAGAUAAGAAGCACCGGCUAACUACGU
This 464-nucleotide ribosomal RNA is filed under the name uncultured bacterium. Its description in RNAcentral is "partial 16S ribosomal RNA". It matches the Rfam family "Bacterial small subunit ribosomal RNA", at positions 28 to 506 of the family's 1533-position model. The record is from RNAcentral.